CCCAGACCCGGCCAUGACACCACCUCCACACCUUCCAACCUCCGGCCGACGAUCGGUUCACCAUCUCCUUCGUUCACACGUCGGUUACUCCUUUCACCGACACCUCCAUCCUCCAAGAACCCCUCGAAUAACUCCUCAGCCGCCACCGCAAAUUUUCGGCAUGAAGUGGACAGAUCAAGGAUUGACAGAGACGUAUUCCCCACACCGGCGUCUUUGAUUCUUGACGGCGGCAGAGAGUUGAUGUUUGAGCGUAGAGCGAAGCUUUGAGUCUGGAGUGAUUGCUGAAGAAGGAGGGGCGUUUGGCUUGAAUUUACAAUUGGUUCCGUCAUCGUUAGAUCUGGAUGAUGUGGACAGUUGAGGAUGAAAUCGGUGGUUCUGCCGCUGAUAAGGGUUGCUGUGAGCUCUGUAUGUGAGAGAAAAGCUUGUAAAUGUGGCCGUUGUUGGUAGGAGGUGAAGCCGGAGCAAGGGUUAGCAAAGGUGGCUCCGGUCGGUUUCUAAGGCUGAGAAAUUGAGGUGGUUAGCACCGGCGGCAGAUGGUAGCUGCCCUUGUACCUAAAGGUGGUAUGCAACUUACGAGGGUUUCAUGAAGGAGGUGGUGAACCCCAACGGCAGAUGGUGAGUUUUGAAAAAACGUUGCUGAAGAAGGAGCGUGUGAAGGUGUGAUGAUGAUGCACGUGAAGGGUGAUGAUUUUUUUUUUUUU
Molecule: long non-coding RNA, 701 nt
Organism: Cornus florida
Lineage: Eukaryota; Viridiplantae; Streptophyta; Magnoliopsida; Cornales; Cornaceae
Exons: 2
Source: RefSeq, a predicted model, not a curated record